UACAGAGGGGGCAAGCGUUGUUCGGAAUUACUGGGCGUAAAGAGCUCGUAGGCGGUUUGUCGCGUCUGCCGUGAAAGUCCGGGGCUCAACUCCGGAUCUGCGGUGGGUACGGGCAGACUAGAGUGAUGUAGGGGAGACUGGAAUUCCUGGUGUAGCGGUGAAAUGCGCGGAUAUCAGGAGGAACACCGAUGGCGAAGGCAGGUCUCUGGGCAUUAACUGACGCUGAGGAGCGAAAGCAUGGGGAGCGAACAGG
This 253-nucleotide ribosomal RNA is filed under the name uncultured bacterium. RNAcentral describes it as "partial 16S ribosomal RNA". It matches the Rfam family "Bacterial small subunit ribosomal RNA", at positions 524 to 776 of the family's 1533-position model. The record is from RNAcentral.